UGCAAGUCGAACGAGAUCCAACCGGUAGCAAUACUGGUGAAGAUCUAGUGGCGAACGGGUGAGUAACACGUGAGCAACCUACCCCGAAGACUGGGACAACACCGGGAAACCGGUGCUAAUACCGGAUACCCCCACCGGACCGCAUGGUCUGAUGAGGAAAUGGAUUCCGCUUCGGGAGGGGCUCGCGGCCUAUCAGCUAGUUGGUGAGGUAACGGCUCACCAAGGCAUCGACGGGUAGCUGGUCUGAGAGGACGAUCAGCCACACUGGGACUGAGACACGGCCCAGACUCCUACGGGAGGCAGCAGUGGGGAACCUUGCACAAUGGGCGAAAGCCUGAUGCAGCAACGCCGCGUGAGGGACGAAGGCUUUCUGAGUUGUAAACCUCUUUCAGCAGGGACGGUUAUGACGGUACCUGCAGAAGAAGCACCGGCCAACUACGUGCCAGCAGCCGCGGUAAUACGUAGGGUGCAAGCGUUGUCCGGAUUUAUUGGGCGUAAAGAGCUCGUAGGCGGUUUGGCAAGUCGGAUGUGAAACCUCCAGGCUCAACCUGGAGUCGCCAUUCGAUACUGCCAUGACUAG
RNAcentral lists this ribosomal RNA (580 nucleotides) under uncultured bacterium. RNAcentral describes it as "bacterial SSU rRNA". It matches the Rfam family "Bacterial small subunit ribosomal RNA", at positions 56 to 644 of the family's 1533-position model. The record is from RNAcentral.